CCUACGGGUGGCAGCAGUGGGGAAUAUUGGGCAAUGGGCGCAAGCCUGACCCAGCAACGCCGCGUGAGGGAAGAAGGCCCUCGGGUUGUAAACCUCUUUUAUCAGGGACGCAACAAAUGACGGUACCUGAUGAAUAAGCCACGGCUAACUACGGGCCAGCCGCCGCGGUAAUACGUAGGUGGCAAGCGUUAUCCGGAUUUAAGGGGGGUAAAGGGCGUGUAGGCGGGAGAGCAAGUCAGGCGUGAAAGUCCAGGGCUCAACCCUGGAACUGCGUUUGAAACUGUACUUCUUGAGUGAUGGAGAGGCAGGCGGAAUUCAGUGUGUAGCGGUGAAAUGCGUAGAUAUACGGAGGAACACCAGUGGCGAAGGCGGCCUGCUGGACAGUAACUGACGCUGAUGCGCGAAAGCGUGGGGAGCAAACAGGAUUAGAUACCCCUGUAGUC
RNAcentral lists this ribosomal RNA (443 nucleotides) under uncultured bacterium. Its description in RNAcentral is "partial 16S ribosomal RNA". It matches the Rfam family "Bacterial small subunit ribosomal RNA", at positions 338 to 795 of the family's 1533-position model. The record is from RNAcentral.